Molecule: ribosomal RNA, 549 nt
Filed under: uncultured Glomus
Lineage: Eukaryota; Fungi; Glomeromycota; Glomeromycetes; Glomerales; Glomeraceae
Description: SSU rRNA
Rfam family: Eukaryotic small subunit ribosomal RNA
Source: RNAcentral
UUGGAGGGCAAGUCUGGUGCCAGCAGCCGCGGUAAUUCCAGCUCCAAUAGCGUAUAUUAAAGUUGUUGCAGUUAAAAAGCUCGUAGUUGAAUUUCGGGGUCAGUAGGUUGGUCGUGCCACUGGUACGUACUGGUCUCACUGAUUCCUCCUUCCUGAUGAACCGUAAUGCCAUUAAUUUGGUGUUGCGGGGAAACUGGACUGUUACUUUGAAAAAAUUAGAGUGUUUAAAGCAGGCUAACGCUUGAAUACAUUAGCAUGGAAUAAUGAAAUAGGACGUUCGAUCCUAUUUUGUUGGUUUCUAGGAUUGACGUAAUGAUUAAUAGGGACAGUUGGGGGCAUUAGUAUUCAAUUGUCAGAGGUGAAAUUCUUGGAUUUAUUGAAGACUAACUACUGCGAAAGCAUUUGCCAAGGAUGUUUUCAUUAAUCAAGAACGAAAGUUAGGGGAUCGAAGACGAUCAGAUACCGUCGUAGUCUUAACCAUAAACUAUGCCGACUAGGGAUCGGAUGAUGUUAAUUUUUUAAUGACUCAUUCGGCGCCUUACGGGAAAC